GACGAACGUUGGCGGCGUGCCUUACACAUGCAAGUCGUACGCGAAAGGGUGAACCGGCUUGCCGGGGAUCCCGAGUAGAGUGGCGAACGGGAGCGUAACACGUGAGAAACCUGCCUUGGAGUGGGGAAUAACUUCGAGAAAUCGGAGCCAAUUCCGCAUGAUGCAGCGGCCCCGCAUGGGGACAGUUGUUAAAGACGGCCUCUGCUUGCAGGCCGUCGCUUCGAGAUGGUCUCGCGGCCUAUCAGCUAGUUGGUGAGGUAAUGGCUCACCAAGGCGACGACGGGUAGCCGGCCUGAGAGGGUGUCCGGCCUCAUUGGGACUGAGACACGGCCCAGACUCCUACGGGAGGCAGCAGUGAGGAAUCUUGCGCAAUGGGCGAAAGCCUGACGCAGCGACGCCGCGUGAGGGAUGAAGG
This 415-nucleotide ribosomal RNA is filed under the name uncultured bacterium. RNAcentral's name for it is "bacterial SSU rRNA". It matches the Rfam family "Bacterial small subunit ribosomal RNA", at positions 28 to 414 of the family's 1533-position model. The record is from RNAcentral.